Molecule: ribosomal RNA, 480 nt
Filed under: uncultured bacterium
Lineage: Bacteria
Description: partial 16S ribosomal RNA
Rfam family: Bacterial small subunit ribosomal RNA
Source: RNAcentral
GACGAACGCUGGCGGCGUGCCUAACACAUGCAAGUCGAGCGAGUGAAUCUCCUUCGGGAGUGAAACUAGCGGCGGACGGGUGAGUAACACGUGGGCAACCUGCCUCAUAGAGGGGAAUAGCCUUUCGAAAGGAAGAGUAAUACCGCAUAAGAUUGUAGCUUCGCAUGAAGUAGCAAUUAAAGGAGUAAUCCGCUAUGAGAUGGGCCCGCGGCGCAUUAGUUAGUUGGUGAGGUAACGGGGCACCAAUGCGACGAUGCGUAGCCGACCUGGGAGGGUGAUCCGCCACAUUGGGGCUGAGACACGGCCCAGACUCCUACGGGAGGCAGCAGUGGGGAAUAUUGCAAAAUGGGGGAAACCCUGAUGCAGCAACGCCGCGUGAGUGAUGACGGCCUUCGGGUUGUAAAACUCUGUCUUCAGGGACGAUAAUGACGGUACCUGAGGAGGAAGCCACGGCUAACUACGUGCCAGCCGCCGCAGUAA